This 460-nucleotide ribosomal RNA is filed under the name uncultured bacterium. Its description in RNAcentral is "partial 16S ribosomal RNA". It matches the Rfam family "Bacterial small subunit ribosomal RNA", at positions 338 to 795 of the family's 1533-position model. The record is from RNAcentral.
CCUACGGGUGGCAGCAGUGAGGAAUAUUGGUCAAUGGGCGCGAGCCUGAACCAGCCAAGUCGCGUGAAGGAUGACUGCCCUACGGGUUGUAAACUUCUUUUAUAAGGGAAUAAAGUGAGGCACGUGUGCCUGUUUGUAUGUACUUUAUGAAUAAGGAUCGGCUAACUCCGUGCCAGCAGCCGCGGUAAUACGGAGGAUCCGAGCGUUAUCCGGAUUUAUUGGGUUUAAAGGGAGCGUAGAUGGGUUGUUAAGUCAGUGGUGAAAGUUUGCGGCUCAACCGUGGAAUUGCAAUUGAUACUGGCAGGCUAGAGUGCAGUUGCGGUAGGCGGAAUGUGUGGUGUAGCGGUGAAAUGCUUAGAUAUCACGAAGAACUCCGAUUGCGAAGGCAGCCUACUAAGCUGCCACUGACGUUGAUGCACGAAAGUGUGGGUAUCAAACAGGAUUAGAUACCCGUGUAGUC